Molecule: ribosomal RNA, 424 nt
Filed under: uncultured bacterium
Lineage: Bacteria
Description: bacterial SSU rRNA
Rfam family: Bacterial small subunit ribosomal RNA
Source: RNAcentral
UUAGGAAUUUUGGGCAAUGGGCGCAAGCCUGACCCAGCAACGCCGCGUGGGUGACGACGGCCUUCGGGUUGUAAAGCCCUUUUCUGGGGGACGAUGAUGACGGUACCCCAGGAAGAAGCACCGGCUAACUACGUGCCAGCAGCCGCGGUAAUACGUAGGGUGCGAGCGUUGCCCGGAUUUAUUGGGCGUAAAGGGCGCGUAGGCGGCUCCGUACGUCCCGCGUGAAAGCUCCCGGCUCACCUGGGAGAGGUCGCGGGAUACGGCGGGGCUCGAGCACGGUAGGGGGCCAUGGAAUUCCCGGUGUAGUGGUGGAAUGCGUAGAGAUCGGGAGGAACACCAGUGGCGAAGGCGGUGGCCUGGACCGAUGCUGACGCUGAGGCGCGAAAGCGUGGGGAGCGAUCCGGAUUAGAUACCCCGGUAGUCC